RNAcentral lists this long non-coding RNA (2016 nucleotides) under Drosophila guanche. Lineage: Eukaryota; Metazoa; Arthropoda; Insecta; Diptera; Drosophilidae. The record is from RNAcentral.
GUAAAUUUGAGCAAUAUGUACAUGUGUAUGUACGCAGACCUAUUUGGAACACUGUACUGGGUUAAAGUUGAAUUUUCUUAAAUUCAGAUAGUAUUGCACGAUCAGAAGCAACUGGAACUGGAAAAGGAAAAUCAAAAUGUCUCUUUAUUUUCGAACGACAUUUUAUAUUGAUAAUGUGGGAUAUUAUUAAUUUAGAAACAAAAAUACGCUUCGUACUGAUGUAAAUACAUUUGUAUGAUGUAUGUACAUGUAUUUCUUAAAUUACAAAUGCAUGUAUGUACAUACAAAUGUUAAAGUUAUGCAUAGAGUGGAAAUGUGUAAAAUUGUAUCACUCUAAAUGUACAUACAGAUAUGUAUAUACAUAUGUAUGAUUGCUAGGCUAGGCGAUAGUGAAAAAAUAUGAGUAACACCACCACCCAAAAUUACAACCCAUGUGCAGAAAAUCGAUAUUCUAGUCAAACUACAUGUACAUAUCAGCUUGUAGUGUCUACCUCGUGCUUACGUAGAAAAAUGAAUUUUUUUAAGUGCAAUAUAAAUAAAUAUAUCUACACAUAUGCAUAAAUAUGGUUGGAUUGUUACAUUCUUGUAUACAACAGAGUGAUAUUUAACCUAUUGCUUUUUUAGCCUAAAUUGGUUGCUCACUGUGUGGUAGGCUAGACAAUUAUUUAAUAUCUUUCUUUCUUUUUGUUUUUGCUGAAUUUGUGUACAUAUAUGCGUACAUGCAUAUGUACAUACAUGUGUACAUAUGUAUGUGUGAACUUGUGGAUACUAUUUUCGGAGGCUAGAUUCAACGUUUUGUAAUGAUCGAUGGUAAAACUGGAUAAUUAACAAUGCAUCUUGUUCGUAGUAACUUUUUCCAACGUGAUGAGUAUUUGAGAUCGCCUUCAACAAAGAUUGGAGUCCAACAACAGAAUUUCCAUACGUCGUACAGGAGCUAUCACACCAACAUGAAAGACGCGCAAGCUGAAAAAAAUGUAAAUAAUACAUUGGUUAAGCAUAACCAAAAUGUAACAUUUGUCCGGAGUAGUGGAAUCACUAAUGGAGCUGUUUUUCAUGAGAAUGUUAUUGAAAAUGAGUGGAACUUCCCUCCAAAGGUGCCAGCUCCGCACAUCUACCAUUGCAUUAACCCAGUAAGUCAGAAAAUUAAUGAAAUCUAGCUUCGGUGCACCGAAGUGCAUAUAACUUUGAAAAAUUGUGGAUUUGUUAUCUAUUCCGAUCGUUUUUAUAACUAUAACUAUGAUUUGAAUGUGUUUUGGAACCUCGAAAGAACCUCAUUACGAGGAUUUUAACGUUGCCCUGUUGAUGUCUAGAUGUAAAUAUCGGGGACUACUCAAGCGGCAGCACCCUUUGGUCGGUUGGGAUGUGUCUCUAACUAGGAACUGACUGGGCUUGGUGGCGCAUGGGCCCCUUGAUGGUUCAGUCAUUGUAACUGACGUUAUCAGAUGCUUUUAGAGCGUCUCUCACUGUCUUUCGUUCUCUCUAGUAGGGUAGCUUAAUAAUAAAGUGUGGGGUUUCAUUGCAUGUACAUACAUACAAUGAAAUUAAAAUUUACAUACAUAUGUACAUAUGGCAAAAAUUAAUUUUAAUGUUUCUUUAUUUUUUCAGGACUUACUGGUGGGAAGUGAUAAGAACGGCUUCAAAGGACUCCGUAAGCAAUUUAGUGGGCGAUUUAAGCGCUUAGUUACUCGAAAAGUAGAGCACGGCCCAGUGAUACCCCCGGAAUUAAAGCCACAAUUAAAAACAAUUUACGUUUACUAAUUUUAGAAGAAUCACUAUUUGCGUAUAUACAAUAUGUAUGUAUAAAUGUACUUGUAUGUAUUUUUAUAUAUUGUAGAAAACUUUAGUGAUAAUAAAAGCAAGAUAAACUAAGCUACCUUGUUAAUUGACAUUUCUAAUUAUUAAGUUCAUCAUGCUUAAUUAGUUUCAUUUUCGUAUAUUUUAUUAUACAUCUCAUAUUUUCCAAAGCUUUUUAGAUUUUAUAAAAGAAAAUAGUUAAAUCCAACAAACGCCUUUUUA